CCUACGGGUGGCAGCAGUGGGGAAUAUUGGACAAUGGGGGCAACCCUGAUCCAGCCAUGCCGCGUGUGUGAAGAAGGCCCUCGGGUUGUAAAGCACUUUCAGUGAGGAAGAACGCCUGGUGGUUAAUACCCAUCAGGAAAGACAUCACUCACAGAAGAAGCACCGGCUAACUCCGUGCCAGCAGCCGCGGUAAUACGGAGGGUGCGAGCGUUAAUCGGAAUUACUGGGCGUAAAGCGCGCGUAGGUGGCUUGAUAAGCCGGUUGUGAAAGCCCCGGGCUCAACCUGGGAACGGCAUCCGGAGCUGUCAAGCUAGAGUGCAGGAGAGGAAGGUAGAAUUCCCGGUGUAGCGGUGAAAUGCGUAGAGAUCGGGAGGAAUACCAGUGGCGAAGGCGGCCUUCUGGACUGACACUGACACUGAGGUGCGAAAGCGUGGGUAGCAAACAGGAUUAGAUACCCGGGUAGUC
Molecule: ribosomal RNA, 465 nt
Filed under: Vreelandella stevensii
Lineage: Bacteria; Pseudomonadati; Pseudomonadota; Gammaproteobacteria; Oceanospirillales; Halomonadaceae
Description: partial 16S ribosomal RNA
Rfam family: Bacterial small subunit ribosomal RNA
Source: RNAcentral